Molecule: ribosomal RNA, 464 nt
Filed under: uncultured bacterium
Lineage: Bacteria
Description: partial 16S ribosomal RNA
Rfam family: Bacterial small subunit ribosomal RNA
Source: RNAcentral
CUACGGGGCGCAGCAGUUAGGGAUAUUCGGCAAUGGGGGAAACCCUGACCGAGCAAUGCCGCGUGAAUGAAGAAGUAUUUCGAUAUGUAAAGUUCUGUUGUUAAGGAAGAAAGGUACGAAUAGGAAAUGAUUCGUAAUUGACGGUACUUAACCAGAAAGCCCCUGCUAACUACGUGCCAGCAGCAGCGGUAAUACGUAGGGGGCGAGCGUUAUCCGGAAUUAUUGGGCGUAAAGGGUGCGUAGGCGGCCUGUCAAGUCCGAGUGGAAAGCCCACGGCUUAACCGUGGAGGGUGCUCGGAAACUGAUAGGCUUGAAUCCAGAAGAGGCAAGUGGAAUUCUAUGUGGAGCGGUGGAAUGCGUAGAUAUAUGGAGGAACACCAGUGGCGAAGGCGGCUUGCUGGGCUGGUAUUGACGCUGAUGCACGAAAGCGUGGGGAGCAAACAGGAUUAGAUACCCCUGUAGUC